RNAcentral lists this ribosomal RNA (110 nucleotides) under Prunus dulcis (almond). Lineage: Eukaryota; Viridiplantae; Streptophyta; Magnoliopsida; Rosales; Rosaceae. The record is from RNAcentral.
UUGGGAGCUCACUAGCUUCGGAGUCAUGGGAACUCCGAAGUUAAGAGAGUUAGGGCCAGAGCAAUCCCAUGAUGGGAGACUCACUGGGAAGUUGCUCGUGAGCUCCCAGA